RNAcentral lists this unclassified non-coding RNA (239 nucleotides) under plant metagenome. RNAcentral describes it as "partial contains small subunit ribosomal RNA and internal transcribed spacer 1". The stretch from base 1 to 46 matches the Rfam family "Eukaryotic small subunit ribosomal RNA", at positions 1786 to 1831 of the family's 1831-position model. The record is from RNAcentral.
AAGUCGUAACAAGGUUUCCGUAGGUGAACCUGCGGAAGGAUCAUUACCGAGAUGGGGUCCUUCGGGGCCCGACCUCCAACCCUUUGUCUACAAAUCUUUGUUGCCUCGGCGGGCCGCCGGGCCUUCUUCACCGAUCGUCCGCCGUCGGCCUCUUUGGAGGCUCUCGAGCGCCCGCCGGUGGAUCACUUAAAAGCUCUCUUGAACGAGAACUUCUGAGUAAAUUUACAACAACUUCAAAA